This 67-nucleotide transfer RNA is filed under the name Pachyneuron aphidis. RNAcentral's name for it is "tRNA-Met". It matches the Rfam family "tRNA". From Rfam's summary of the family: Transfer RNA (tRNA) molecules are approximately 80 nucleotides in length. Their secondary structure includes four short double-helical elements and three loops (D, anti-codon, and T loops). The record is from RNAcentral. Lineage: Eukaryota; Metazoa; Arthropoda; Insecta; Hymenoptera; Pteromalidae.
AAAAAGAUAGACUAAUAUUAAGUUAUUAGAUUCAUAAUCUAAAGAUAUAAUUAAUUUAUUCUUUUUA